CGGAGCCCUCGGCUUCCCCGCCGGCCAGGCCAGGCGCAGAGGCAGCCGCCCGGCGCGGAGGGCGGACGACGCGACGGGACGGGACGGGCCCCGCGCUGCAGCAGGAUGAGGCCGCGGCGGGGCGCGGGGCUGGCGCUGGCCGCGCUGCUGCUGCUGCUGAGCCGGGAGCCGGCCGGGGUGUCCGCCGCGGGAUGUAGUGGCUGUGGAAAAUGUGACUGCAGUGGAGUAAAAGGGCAAAAAGGUGAAAGAGGUUUGCCUGGACUUCAAGGUCUGAUAGGGUUUCCUGGAAUGCAAGGACCUGAAGGUCCUGCUGGGCCGCCAGGUUUUAAGGUAAGUUGUAUUUAAUAUUUUUGUGUAUGUCAACACUGCACAGGUCAGUCCC
RNAcentral lists this long non-coding RNA (382 nucleotides) under Crocodylus porosus (Australian saltwater crocodile). Its description in RNAcentral is "lncRNA (ENSCPRG00005016592.1)". The record is from RNAcentral. Lineage: Eukaryota; Metazoa; Chordata; Crocodylia; Crocodylidae.